Long non-coding RNA from Microplitis mediator, 533 nucleotides. RefSeq lists it as uncharacterized. The transcript is spliced from 3 exons. NCBI's taxonomy places the organism in Eukaryota, Metazoa, Arthropoda, Insecta, Hymenoptera, Braconidae. The record is from RefSeq and is a predicted model, not a curated record.
CUCGAGUGGGUUCUUCGCGUCUUGCAUCAAGUGUCGCAUUAAACGAACCAGAAACUUGUCGACGACCAUAAGAUUUUUUAAACCUACAACCUCCGUGCGUAUAUUACUCGUCGUCAGUUUUAAUUACUCCAACUUGUACAUUAUCCCUUUUAUGCAUCAUAUUUUAUAUAUUUUUAUUUGCUUAUUCAACGUUGCGUUUUAUUCAGAUAUAAAUCAGUCGGAGUUUUAAAUAAAAUUCUAAAAUAAAGUUUUUUUUGCUUCCUCUUCCUGUCUGGUUUAUAAUUACACUGUGCGGAUGAUGAUCCGGAAAAGCUGGUGAUAUUCGUCAUGCCUACUGUCUUCUUACUCUCCCUCGCUCUUGACUCUCUCCACUGUGAUCAUCAUCGCAAGGGCAUGACUCGGUGGUUUAUUUUCACAAGAGGUCAUUUCAAUUUCCGGUUCCGGACAGUAUGUACCAAUUCUCACGUGACUAUAAGCAGCCCUCAGUUGGACACCAUCAAGAGGACGAAAAUUUCCACGUUCCGUAGAUGACA